GAUGAAGAACGCAGCGAAAUGCGAUAAGUAGUGUGAAUUGCAGAAUUCCGUGAAUCAUCGAAUCUUUGAACGCACAUUGCGCCUUCUGGUAUUCCGGAAGGCAUGCCUGUUCGAGAGUCAUUAACAACCGUUUCGAUCCCUUUCUUUCAGAAAUUACAAAGAGGAAAAGGGUUUGGUUAUGGUGGAGGAGGGAAAGGGAGCGUUUAGCCUGUAAAAAAAGAGGCUGUGUUCCGCCUCCCCCCCAAAAUUGUACAGGCGGUCGUGUGCGCCCACGCAUCGAGGUGUUGUAAAAGCUGCCACGGCACUUUUCACCUGUGCAGUGCGAGAUUGGCCAGCCGGUUUAAAAGCCCCUCCAAACAAUCAAAGGUUGACCUCGGAUCAGGUGGGGAUACCCGCUGAACUUAAGCAUAUCAAUAAGCGGAGGA
Molecule: unclassified non-coding RNA, 425 nt
Filed under: soil metagenome
Description: partial contains 5.8S ribosomal RNA, internal transcribed spacer 2, and large subunit ribosomal RNA
Rfam family: 5.8S ribosomal RNA (bases 1-120)
Source: RNAcentral